CGUGAAUUCAGUGUCACCAACCUGUGUCCAUUUGGCGGGAAGUGGAAGUAGAGCUUUUUGUUUAUUAUUAUUUGUUGAGGUUGAGUCUUUCAUGUUCAUGACAACCUAAAAAUUUUGAUUGGAAAAUGCAUAUAAGAUAAGGGGGUGGGAAAAUGGAAAUUAGUGGCUUUUUUGCAGUUCUGUCUGUUAGUUUUGCUCUGGCUGGGUCUCUUUUGUUUAAACAAUUAUAAUCAGCUGAAAGUGGUCUACAAAAAAACCAGGAAGGAAACGUAUUAUAGCCUUGUUGUGGCUAUGAAAGGCAAAAGAAAGAUACCUAUAAAAAGUGUAUUGACUAGUUGGAAGAAACUCCACAUUGUCGAUGCAUAAUAAGAUAUUACUUUAUAAACAAAUAUCAAGACCUAGGAAUGGAACCUGGAUAAUAUAGUCAUCAAGAAGAUAGCAGGAGGUCAUGAGCAACAACAACUUCAUAAGUAUGAGAAUAUUGAGGAAAUCCAGCUCCUCGAUAUCUACUACUGGACAAACUAGAAGAUUGAAGAGGACAAAGCCUUUUGAACUAGUUUGAGUGAUAGGUGAUAGUGAAAAGCAGAGCGUAGUGCUUGUGUGCCUGUGUAUGUUAGAAUAGUGCACGAUCUUGUUAGAUUAGAUAAGAGACGCUAUAGGGUAAGCUCUUCAUUUUAAGGAACAGUAGUAAUUUAGGUUAAAUUAAAAUUGCUCAUUGGUCAGUUAUGACCAGAUUGUAAUUCUCUGAUGUUUGGCAAAAAGGGCUGAAGUCAGAAUUGCACAUCAAUAAUGUUUUGAUGAUUUCUGGACCAUAAAAAAAGUGUUGCAGACUUAAACUGUAUGUACCAAUAAAAAGAGCCGAUUUUUCUGGUCCAGAAAUCAUCAAAACAUUAUCGAUGUGCAAUUCUGACUUAAGCCCUUUUUCCCAAACAUCAGAGAAUUGCAAUGUACAAUUCAAUACAAAUGAAUCAUCAUCGUAGUGAUGAUUAUGGAAAAAAAUAUAUAUAUAUAGAAAUAUAUAUAUUUUGUGCAAUAAAAAUGUUUAUAUUUA
RNAcentral lists this long non-coding RNA (1051 nucleotides) under Diabrotica virgifera virgifera (western corn rootworm). RNAcentral describes it as "uncharacterized LOC126880236". Lineage: Eukaryota; Metazoa; Arthropoda; Insecta; Coleoptera; Chrysomelidae. The record is from RNAcentral.